AUUGAACGCUGGCGGCAGGCCUAACACAUGCAAGUCGAGCGGAUGAAGGGAGCUUGCUCCUGGAUUCAGCGGCGGACGGGUGAGUAAUGCCUAGGAAUCUGCCUGGUAGUGGGGGAUAACGUCCGGAAACGGGCGCUAAUACCGCAUACGUCCUGAGGGAGAAAGUGGGGGAUCUUCGGACCUCGCGCUAUCAGAUGAGCCUAGGUCGGAUUAGCUAGUUGGUGGGGUAAAGGCCAACCAAGGCGACGAUCCGUAACUGGUCUGAGAGGAUGAUCAGUCACACUGGAACUGAGACACGGUCCAGACUCCUACGGGAGGCAGCAGUGGGGAAUAUUGGACAAUGGGCGAAAGCCUGAUCCAGCCAUGCCGCGUGUGUGAAGAAGGUCUUCGGAUUGUAAAGCACUUUAAGUUGGGAGGAAGGGCAGUAAGUUAAUACCUUGCUGUUUUGACGUUACCAACAGAAUAAGCACCGGCUAACUUCGUG
This 484-nucleotide ribosomal RNA is filed under the name uncultured bacterium. RNAcentral describes it as "partial 16S ribosomal RNA". It matches the Rfam family "Bacterial small subunit ribosomal RNA", at positions 30 to 507 of the family's 1533-position model. The record is from RNAcentral.